GACGUAGGGCGCGAGCGUUGUCCGGAUUUAUUGGGCGUAAAGAGCUCGUAGGCGGCCUGUCGCGUCUGCUGUGAAAACUCGGGGCUUAACCCCGGGCCUGCAGUGGGUACGGGCAGACUAGAGUGCGGUAGGGGAGACUGGAAUUCCUGGUGUAGCGGUGAAAUGCGCAGAUAUCAGGAGGAACACCGGUGGCGAAGGCGGGUCUCUGGGCCGUAACUGACGCUGAGGAGUGAAAGCGUGGGGAGCGAACAGG
This 253-nucleotide ribosomal RNA is filed under the name uncultured bacterium. RNAcentral describes it as "partial 16S ribosomal RNA". It matches the Rfam family "Bacterial small subunit ribosomal RNA", at positions 524 to 776 of the family's 1533-position model. The record is from RNAcentral.